RNAcentral lists this small RNA (330 nucleotides) under Rattus norvegicus (Norway rat). Its description in RNAcentral is "uncharacterized LOC108351526". Lineage: Eukaryota; Metazoa; Chordata; Mammalia; Rodentia; Muridae. The record is from RNAcentral.
AUCAGCCUGGCGUGCCAGCCCAAAGUCCAGGAUCUGGAGAACAACUGGUAUCUUGUAAGAUACCUACCUCUCUGGAUUUCAGAAGCAGACCAGUAGCAGAAAAGAGGCUUCUGAAGACAGCACAAGAUCCAAGAUGUGAAGCUCGGCCCCCAGUCCCGGUACAGGGCACAUAUCAGUGUCCGCACCCUUGAUCAGCCUGUCAACAAUGACUAUCUGCAACAGUUCUCCAAUCCCAGGUACCUGGAUGCUGCCACGGUCGAGACUCUAACGUCUCAUCUCCAAGCCCUACCUAUAUUCUGAGAUCUUUUGUUGGGUAAACUUGUAGACAAA